This 397-nucleotide ribosomal RNA is filed under the name uncultured bacterium. RNAcentral's name for it is "partial 16S ribosomal RNA". It matches the Rfam family "Bacterial small subunit ribosomal RNA", at positions 523 to 918 of the family's 1533-position model. The record is from RNAcentral.
AUACGUAGGGGGCGAGCGUUGUCCGGAAUGACUGGGCGUAAAGGGCGUGUAGGCGGCCGAUUAAGUCUGGAGUGAAAGUCCCGCUUUCAAGGUGGGAAUUGCUUUGGAGACUGGUUGGCUUGAGUGCGGAAGAGGUAAGUGGAAUUCCCAGUGUAGCGGUGAAAUGCGUAGAGAUUGGGAGGAACACCAGUGGCGAAGGCGACUUACUGGGCCGUAACUGACGCUGAGGCGCGAAAGCGUGGGGAGCGAACAGGAUUAGAUACCCUGGUAGUCCACGCGGUAAACGAUGAAUGCUAGGUGUUGCGGGUAUCGACCCCUGCAGUGCCGGAGUAAACACAAUAAGCAUUCCGCCUGGGGAGUACGGCCGCAAGGUUGAAACUCAAAUGAAUUGGCGGGG